RNAcentral lists this ribosomal RNA (248 nucleotides) under uncultured bacterium. RNAcentral's name for it is "partial 16S ribosomal RNA". It matches the Rfam family "Bacterial small subunit ribosomal RNA", at positions 523 to 769 of the family's 1533-position model. The record is from RNAcentral.
AUACGUAGGCAGCGAGCGUUGUUCGGAGUUACUGGGCGUAAAGGGUGUGUAGGCGGUUCUCCGUGUCUGGGGUGAAAUCUCCCGGCUCAACUGGGAGGGUGCGCCGGAAACUGGAGGGCUUGGAGUGCGGGAUGGGAGAGUGGAAUUCCUGGUGUAGCGGUGAAAUGCGUAGAUAUCAGGAGGAACACCGGUGGUGUAGACGGCUCUCUGGACCGUAACUGACGCUGAGACACGAAAGCGUGGGUAGC